AAUAGAUACCCGGGUAGUCCACGCCGUAAACGAUGAGUGCUAAGUGUUAGAGGGCUUCCACCCUUUAGUGCUGCAGCUAACGCAUUAAGCACUCCGCCUGGGGAGUACGGCCGCAAGGCUGAAACUCAAAGGAAUUGACGGGGGCCCGCACAAGCGGCGGAGCAUGUGGUUUAAUUCGAAGCAACGCGAAGAACCUUACCAGGUCUUGACAUCCUUCGCUACCUCUAGAGAUAGAGGGUUCCCCUUCGGGGGACGGAGUGACAGGUGGUGCAUGGUUGUCGUCAGCUCGUGUCGUGAGAUGUUGGGUUAAGUCCCGCAACGAGCGCAACCCUUGACCUUAGUUGCCAGCAUUCAGUUGGGCACUCUAAGGUGACUGCCGGUGACAAACCGGAGGAAGGUGGGGAUGACGUCAAAUCAUCAUGCCCCUUAUGACCUGGGCUACACACGUGCUACAAUGGAUGGUACAAAGGGUCGCGAAACCGCGAGGUGGAGCCAAUCCCAAAAAACCAUUCUCAGUUCGGAUUGCAGG
RNAcentral lists this ribosomal RNA (529 nucleotides) under uncultured bacterium. Its description in RNAcentral is "bacterial SSU rRNA". It matches the Rfam family "Bacterial small subunit ribosomal RNA", at positions 777 to 1304 of the family's 1533-position model. The record is from RNAcentral.